GACCAAGUUGGUAAUGCCAAUGCCCUGAAGAUACGAAUGAAGAUUCGUGUUAAAGAAUGCACUGAAACGUGUUUUCACCAAUUUGUAAUCACCUUCCUGAAUAACAAGCCCAUCAACCAGUUCUGCUCCCACACACCCCUUUGAUGUGGGUUUUGGUUUCCCAUCACCAUACAAAUGCCUACGAAACAAUUCAACAUCUCUUCCUAAUGGGUCAUGCUCGCGGACAACCCAAAUAAUGGGGAUUCCACGGUUUCGUGCAACCUCAACGGUUUUGAUAACGUUUGGAACAAUAGCUUCACCUCCUCUAACAAGCAUAGGAGCAUCUGGUAGUAUAAAAUCUUUCUGCAUAUCUAUGACAACAACAGCUGUUUUGCUCCAUUUAUCACCAUUUUCUGAGCCCAUUUGAUUAUCACAAACUCAGAAUUUUUGCCAGCAAUUUCG
RNAcentral lists this unclassified non-coding RNA (441 nucleotides) under Hevea brasiliensis (rubber tree). Lineage: Eukaryota; Viridiplantae; Streptophyta; Magnoliopsida; Malpighiales; Euphorbiaceae. The record is from RNAcentral.